GACAGGAGGCAGGGGGGCUGUAUUUUAGUUGAGCUCCCUGAUACAGCUGGAUACACCAUACACAUUUUUAACCCUAGCCUCUGUGUCUGAAGGUAUGUCUAUACUACCCGCUGGAUCAGCGGGGAGCGAUCAAUCCAGCGGGGGUCGAUUUAUCACGUCUAGUUGACCCCUGAGCGCUCUCCCAUCGACUCCUGUACUCCGCCGCCGCGAGAGACACAGGCACAGUCGACGAGGGAGCGGCAACAGUCGACUCACCACAGUGAAGACACCGCGCUUUCUUUGCAAGACUCAUCACCCUCCAGCAAUGAGUCAGUUAACAUAGCUGAAAAAACAUUCCAGAGAAGUUUGUAGCAAAUUUCAUGGAAAUACAGCCCGUGGUGUCAAGCUGUCAUUCGUGAUGUAAAUUGCAGAAGUCGGGCACCCACUACACCCUGCAUGUCAUGUCCAUUGAUUAAUGGCAUCUUUAACCCAUCCUUUCCUUACCAGUGCCCUAUCUGAAGGAGAAGUGAGCUUGCUAUAGUAAUGAAUCCGC
Molecule: long non-coding RNA, 532 nt
Organism: Mauremys mutica (yellowpond turtle)
Lineage: Eukaryota; Metazoa; Chordata; Testudines; Geoemydidae
Exons: 3
Source: RefSeq, a predicted model, not a curated record